This 338-nucleotide unclassified non-coding RNA is filed under the name soil metagenome. RNAcentral's name for it is "partial contains 5.8S ribosomal RNA, internal transcribed spacer 2, and large subunit ribosomal RNA". The stretch from base 1 to 120 matches the Rfam family "5.8S ribosomal RNA", at positions 35 to 154 of the family's 154-position model. The record is from RNAcentral.
GAUGAAGAACGUAGCGAAAUGCGAUACGUAAUGUGAAUUGCAGAAUUCAGUGAAUCAUCGAAUCUUUGAACGCACAUUGCGCCCGCUAGCACUCUGGCGGGCAUGCCUGUUCGAGCGUCAUUUCAACCAUCAAGCCCCAGCGCUUGUGUUGGGGGCCUGCGGCUGCCGCAGCCCCCCAAAAGCAGUGGCGGGCUCGCUAUCACACCGAGUGCAGUAGUUCAUCUUCUCUCCGGUCUUGUGAGGCGGGUUCCGGCCGUGAAACACCCCACUACAUUCAAGGUUGACCUCGGAUCAGGUAGGAAUACCCGCUGAACUUAAGCAUAUCAAUAAGCGGAGGA